AAGAGGGGUGCUGAACCUGUUGGUUCUGGCUGAGAUUAUACCCGUUUAACCUGAUGCAGAUAAUGCUGCCGUAGGGAUUUGCGAAU
This 86-nucleotide non-coding RNA is filed under the name uncultured Prevotella sp. Lineage: Bacteria; Pseudomonadati; Bacteroidota; Bacteroidia; Bacteroidales; Prevotellaceae. The record is from RNAcentral.